This 227-nucleotide long non-coding RNA is filed under the name Elaeis guineensis (African oil palm). RNAcentral describes it as "long non-coding RNA (EGUI_LNC035957)". The record is from RNAcentral. Lineage: Eukaryota; Viridiplantae; Streptophyta; Magnoliopsida; Arecales; Arecaceae.
UAACAUAGAACUACUUCUUAAUUACUAAGAUCGAUAGAUCUCAUCUAAGUACACAUCCUAUUCCUAUAAUGAACCUACUGCAGCCAACAUAUAUCUCAAGACUCCGUAUGGUUAGGAGAUCGAGUUAUGAUGCAGUCAAACUACAACAACCUCAUUGUGAACAGUCGAGGUACCACAGGUCUAAGAACUAGUCAUACCACACAGCAUCCAGAAUAUCACUAUCGAGU